GAUGAAGAACGUAGUGAAAUGCGAUAAGUAAUGUGAAUUGCAGAAUUCAGUGAAUCAUCGAGUCUUUGAACGCACAUUGCGCCCCCUGGUAUUCCGGGGGGCAUGCCUGUCCGAGCGUCAUUGCUGCCCUCAAGCACGGCUUGUGUGUUGGGCCCCGCCCCCCGGCUCCCGGGGGGCGGGCCCGAAAGGCAGCGGCGGCACCGCGUCCGGUCCUCGAGCGUAUGGGGCUUCGUCACCCGCUCCGUAGGCCCGGCCGGCGCCCGCCGGCGACCCCCCUCAAUCUUUUCAGGUUGACCUCGGAUCAGGUAGGGAUACCCGCUGAACUUAAGCAUAUCAUAAGCGGAGGA
RNAcentral lists this unclassified non-coding RNA (347 nucleotides) under soil metagenome. RNAcentral's name for it is "partial contains 5.8S ribosomal RNA, internal transcribed spacer 2, and large subunit ribosomal RNA". The stretch from base 1 to 120 matches the Rfam family "5.8S ribosomal RNA", at positions 35 to 154 of the family's 154-position model. The record is from RNAcentral.